CCUACGGGAGGCAGCAGUGAGGAAUAUUGGUCAAUGGCCGGGAGGCUGAACCAGCCAAGUCGCGUGAGGGAAGACGGCCCUACGGGUUGUAAACCUCUUUUGUCCGGGAGCAAGGUGCAGGUCGGGACCUGCUGUGAGAGUCCCUGAAGACAAAGCAUCGGCUAACUCCGUGCCAGCAGCCGCGGUACAACAGAGGAUGCGUGCGUUAUCCGGAGUUAGUGGGUUUAAAGGGUGCGCAGGCGGAGGCCCACGUCAGCGGUAAAAUCGCGGGGCGCAACCCCGCUCCGCCGUUGAAACCGUGUCCCUUGAGUGCGCGAAGGGUAGGCGGAAUGCGUGGUGUAGCGGUGAAAUGCAUAGAUAUCACGCAGAACUCCGAUCGCGAAGGCAGCCUACCGGAGCGCAACUGACGCUCAUGCACGAAAGCGUGGGUAUCGAACAGGAUUAGAUACCCUGGUAGUC
RNAcentral lists this ribosomal RNA (459 nucleotides) under uncultured bacterium. RNAcentral describes it as "partial 16S ribosomal RNA". It matches the Rfam family "Bacterial small subunit ribosomal RNA", at positions 338 to 795 of the family's 1533-position model. The record is from RNAcentral.